UCUCCGUUGGUGAACCAGCGGAGGGAUCAUUACCGAGUUAUCAACUCCCAAACCCCUGUGAACAUACCCAACGUUGCUUCGGCGGGACCGCCCCGGCGCCCUCGGCGUCCCGGAACCAGGCGCCCGCCGGAGGACCCAAACUCUUGUUUAAACCAUAGUGGCAUAUUCUGAGUCUCACAAGAAAAAUGAAUCAAAACUUUCAACAACGGAUCUCUUGGUUCUGGCAUCGAUGAGGAACGCAGC
This 243-nucleotide unclassified non-coding RNA is filed under the name plant metagenome. RNAcentral's name for it is "partial contains small subunit ribosomal RNA, internal transcribed spacer 1, and 5.8S ribosomal RNA". The stretch from base 195 to 243 matches the Rfam family "5.8S ribosomal RNA", at positions 1 to 49 of the family's 154-position model. The record is from RNAcentral.